Long non-coding RNA from Sebastes umbrosus (honeycomb rockfish), 812 nucleotides. RefSeq lists it as uncharacterized. The record is from RefSeq and is a predicted model, not a curated record. NCBI's taxonomy places the organism in Eukaryota, Metazoa, Chordata, Actinopteri, Perciformes, Sebastidae. The transcript is spliced from 2 exons.
GUGAGACGCUCGGUGGUGCCGAGACGAGGACACGGUUACAGUGAGACGCUCUGUGGUGCCGAGACGAGGACACGGUUACAGUGAGACGCUCGGUGGUGCCGAGACGAGGACACGGUUACAGUGAGACGCUCGGUGGGGACGUCUUUUUGUCCAGAAAUUGACAAAUUUGCAAUCACUCUUCAGUAUAUCCUCCGUAACCUCUGGGGGCGGCUCAAACGCCGCGGUUUCACGGUUAGCAACUUGGAAAGACCGUCCAUGGUUAAGAUAAAGGGGAGUGGGGUUGGGGGGGGGGGACUCGCCUGUCUUCUCUCAUUUCUUCAAAAAGAAAAUAGACAACAAAGAAAAGGAAACUGAUGCCAGAUUUGGACUCUUCCUCGUCUCCUCCUGGCUCGUCAGUCAUGCAUAAUCAUACUUCUAUUGUUUGUGGUUCAUAAUAUCACAUUUUGAACUGGCUGCCAGAUUCCUCCCCCCCCCCCCCCCCCCCCCCCCAUCCAUCCACUGCUGUGGCCUCCAAUUAUGAUAAUUCAGACUCUCGACUUGCUGGAAUUAGACUUUGUCUGCCCAGUUUCCCACAAUUCACUUGUGCUCUCUGGCCAACACGCUAACUCAGUGUGGUGUUUGUUGGUUUCCAUUGUUCUGGAACAUCAGCUGGUUUCAGCUCAUGUUCUAUCUUCUCUCUGCUAAUGGCUGUUUGGCAGCGCGUUGCUACACAACCCGCUCAUCGGAAAACUGUUGGAAGGAAAACUAACAAUGAAAAGUCUUCCUAGUGAAAAUCAGAUGGAAUCUGGUCCAGAUUAAAGAUGGGAAAGAGG